AAUGAAUUAAUUCACCAUGUGUUCUUAUUGGCGUCACCCAUCGUGAUAUCUUCUAUAUGAUGGGUUUUAGAUACCUGAUAAGGCUGAUUCUCCCUUUUUUUGGGAGUCAGCGUAAGUGACACAUGUCAGAUUGAUAUUUCAGAAGAAUGUAUCUCCAGCUGUUGAUAAAUGGAAAGAAAGCCUUUCUCUUUCUUUUCGACCCAAUCAAAUCCUGAUACAGUUGGUCAUGAUUUCUUCUACAUCU
Molecule: small nucleolar RNA, 244 nt
Filed under: Kazachstania africana CBS 2517
Lineage: Eukaryota; Fungi; Ascomycota; Saccharomycetes; Saccharomycetales; Saccharomycetaceae
Description: Small nucleolar RNA snR31
Rfam family: Small nucleolar RNA snR31
Source: Rfam by way of RNAcentral